UACAGAGGUGGCAAGCGUUGUUCGGAAUUACUGGGCGUAAAGGGCGCGUAGGCGGCCAUCUAAGUCAGACGUGAAAUCCCCCGGCUUAACCUGGGAACUGCGUCUGAUACUGGACGGCUCGAGUAUGGGAGAGGGAUGUAGAAUUCCAGGUGUAGCGGUGAAAUGCGUAGAUAUCUGGAGGAAUACCGGUGGCGAAGGCGGCAUCCUGGACCAGUUACUGACGCUGGGGCGCGAAAGCUAGGGGAGCAAACGGG
Molecule: ribosomal RNA, 254 nt
Filed under: uncultured bacterium
Lineage: Bacteria
Description: partial 16S ribosomal RNA
Rfam family: Bacterial small subunit ribosomal RNA
Source: RNAcentral